AGAGUUUGAUCCUGGCUCAGAACGAACGCUGGCGGCGUGUUUAAGACAUGCAAGUCGCACGGGAUUGGAUGAGUAGUAAUACGAUUCCAGUCUAGUGGCGCACGGGUGAGUAACACGUGAAUUACAUGCCCUUCAGUGGGGAAUAGCCCAGGGAAACUUGGAUUAAUACCCCAUGGUAUCGCAAGAUUAAAGGUGGCCGCAAGGCUGUCGCUGAAGGAUUGGUUCGCGCCCUAUCAGCUUGUUGGCGGGGUAACGGCCCACCAAGGCUACGACGGGUACCUGGUCUGAGAGGACGAUCAGGCACACUGGAACUGAGACACGGUCCAGACACCUACGGGUGGCAGCAGUCGAGAAUAAUUCACAAUGGGGGCAACCCUGAUGGUGCAACGCCGCGUGGAGGAUGACGGUCUUCGGAUUGUAAACUCCUGUCAUCUGGGAGUAAGACCUGGCGAUGAAUAGUCGACAGGGUUGAUAGUACCAGAAGAGGAAGGGACGGCUAACUUCGUGCCAGCAGCCGCGGUAAUACGAAGGUCCCAAGCGUUGUUCGGAAUCACUGGGCGUAAAGGGAGCGUAGGCGGCGUGGUAAGUCAGAUGUGAAAUCCCGGGGCUCAACCCCGGAACUGCAUCCGAUACUGCCAUGCUAGAGGAUUGGAGAGGUAGCUGGAAUUCUUGGUGUAGCAGUGAAAUGCGUAGAGAUCAAGAGGAACACUCGUGGCGAAAGCGAGCUACUGGACAAUUCCUGACGCUGAGGCUCGAAGGCUAGGGUAGCGAAAGGGAUUAGAUACCCCUGUAGUCCUAGCAGUAAACGGUGCACGCUUGGUGUGAGGGGAAUCGACCCCCCUUGUGCCGGAGCUAACGCGUUAAGCGUGCCGCCUGGGAAGUACGGUCGCAAGACUAAAACUCAAAGGAAUUGACGG
RNAcentral lists this ribosomal RNA (917 nucleotides) under uncultured bacterium. Its description in RNAcentral is "bacterial SSU rRNA". It matches the Rfam family "Bacterial small subunit ribosomal RNA", at positions 8 to 916 of the family's 1533-position model. The record is from RNAcentral.